Molecule: ribosomal RNA, 460 nt
Filed under: uncultured bacterium
Lineage: Bacteria
Description: partial 16S ribosomal RNA
Rfam family: Bacterial small subunit ribosomal RNA
Source: RNAcentral
CCUACGGGGGGCAGCAGUGAGGAAUAUUGGUCAAUGGACGAGAGUCUGAACCAGCCAAGUAGCGUGAAGGAUGACUGCUCUAUGGGUUGUAAACUUCUUUUAUAUGGGAAUAAAAUGUUCCACGUGUGGGAUUUUGUAUGUACCAUCUGAAUCAGGAUCGGCUAACUCCGUGCCAGCAGCCGCGGUAAUACGGAGGAUCCGAGCGUUAUCCGGAUUUAUUGGGUUUAAAGGGAGCGUAGGGGGAUUGUUAAGUCAGUUGUGAAAGUUGGCGGCUCAACCGUAAAAUUGCAGUUGAAACUGGCAGUCUUGAGUACAGUAGAGGUGGGCGGAAUUCGUGGUGUAGCGGUGAAAUGCUUAGAUAUCACGAAGAACUCCGAUUGCGAAGGCAGUUCACUGGACUGCAACUGACACUGAGGCUCGAAAGUGUGGGUAUCAAACAGGAUUAGAUACCCGAGUAGUC